RNAcentral lists this long non-coding RNA (1051 nucleotides) under Callithrix jacchus (white-tufted-ear marmoset). Its description in RNAcentral is "lncRNA (ENSCJAG00000078737.1)". Lineage: Eukaryota; Metazoa; Chordata; Mammalia; Primates; Cebidae. The record is from RNAcentral.
AUUCACUGGAGGCAGCCACAACUAACGAGUGGGUGUUAAUGCUUGAGACUAAACGUCUCGCCUUCAAGCUACUUUGCUGGAGGUUCCCUUGGCCAUCUCCCGCUCUCUAAUGAUCAUCCCCGGGUCUCCCUGCAAUGUAUAAGAGAACUGAGGCUCGGACAGAAAGAAUGACGUUACCGAAAGUGGCUUUGCUUCUGCCUUGCCAGCCCAUUGCGCACUGCCUGCCGUGGUUCCAGCCCUCGCUGCCUCUCUUGACUAGCGUAGACCUGCCAUUGCGCCAGGCUCCCAUCGCUGCCAUGGCAUUUGGCUGAGCCUGGGCAACGCGAAAGCAUGCAUAGUUAACGCUCCUGACUGUGUGAAACCCUUUGUCGCGGCACCGGCUCUGCGAGGGACCCAGGGCCCGGGGCUUGGCAAGGGCCCGAGACAUUUCUUGGAAUGGUUUCUUGUUCAUCACUGACACUCGUAAUGAGAAAUUUAUACACCAUCCUAAGCGGAUAAAUUAAUUUCAAACACUUUAGACUUUGGAAGACAAUGGUUCCUGGCAGGACCCUUUAUCACCCAUUUUAUUAAAAAAAAAAAAAAAAAGAAAGAAAGGGGAGAGAAAAAAAACCCUCGGGACAUUGCAAACAAAACCCCUCUGCCCGGCUCUGGAGCUCACUGUCCAGGGCUGGGAGGACCCGCUCGGUCCCCAUGUGGGCCUGGGGCCUGUGGGUCACUGUGAAACUUCAUUAAAGGGUGUGCAGCUCCCCGGGCUGUCCCCUCACCCCUGCGGAGCACAGCUUCCGCUCACCCCUGGCUCCGUUUGAAGUUGGCAUUCUGGCCAAGGAGUUGGAUUUCUCAGGCUGCGUUUGUGAAAGGUAAUUAAAUUGUGAUAAUGUUUCCAUUCAGACCCUGGCUUGGGUGAAGCUUGGGGACUCGUCAGACAGGCAUGUUCUCGCUGUCCACCAAACACGCAGGCCAGCCUGGCGAGAGUCCCUGCCAGGGCCCAGGGGGGUUUCCUGAGCUUCCCACCCAGCUGGGGACUGGCCUGCUCCAGCCAUGUGCAAGGGAG